RNAcentral lists this unclassified non-coding RNA (1894 nucleotides) under Hevea brasiliensis (rubber tree). The record is from RNAcentral. Lineage: Eukaryota; Viridiplantae; Streptophyta; Magnoliopsida; Malpighiales; Euphorbiaceae.
CUCAGCUACAGCUGUAUUGUUGCUUAUCAUACAAACAGCACGCUGUACCCUGGCAAGAUCACCUCCAGGUACUACCGUUGGGGGCUGGUAGUUGAUACCACACUUGAAACCAGUUGGGCACCUGAAAGUAUGCAUACAAAACAUGAUUCAUUUUCAACAGAAAAAGAGAAUGAUGUGAAAAUAUAUUUAUAUAGUGUUGAUCAUAAUCCUAUAACAGAAAAUCAUAUGUUAAAACAAUAAAAGAGAACCACAAUAUUUCAGCAAACAGGGAACACUAAUCCUAGUGAUGUGGAAUCAGAGUUCCUUCCAAAGAAAACCAAGAAUAACAGCAUCUUAUUGAUCCUGAAGACAAGUUUGCAUUCACUUGAGCUUUUCUACAUUUGGUAAAAUGAUGUUCUGAACUAAGAAAGUUAAAAACAGAGGAAUUCUCUCAUAUUUUUAUUCUCUCAAAUAAAAAUAUAAUAAAAUAACCAAAUUCAGUGCUGUUUAGACACCAAUCAUCAACAACUUAGCCUUCAAUAAUUUUUGUUUUGUCGACUAGCAUUGUAAUUCUCAAUUAUAGUUUACAAUAUCUUUUACCGUUACUUUCAAAGCAAAUAAUUCCAAUUAUUGAACAAGUCCACCAUGAAUACCACAAUGAAACAAUCAUUUGAUAAUUCCUAUUACAGCAAAAUCUUUUUAAAGUCCUAUCAAGCUGGUGGAAUUGUUUCCUAUUUGCUAAGAUGUGAAUAUAACCACUUAAAUUUCAUUCAGGGACGAAAGGCAGUUGCCAAUUAAAUGGCAAAGCCCAACUGGCACACCACUCAACAGAAUGAUGAGAACUUUGUUUCUUUCUUGAGCAGAAGGAGAGGGUCACAAUAUCAGUUAGCCCCACAAAAGAUGCAGCAUUGAAAUACCAAUGCAACAUGCUAUUACUAAGAAAACAAGUCUCAUCUCAGCAGGGGGUGGAAAAAUUCUGCUCGAAACUAAUUCCAAUAAAUUAAGAACGCAGGAUAUCAACUCACCAGUCAACAAAUUGAACUGUCCUCUUUGUCUUAAUGGUAGAGACGGCAGCAUUAACAUCCUUUGGCACCACAUCUCCACGAUACAUAAGACAACAAGCCAUGUACUUCCCAUGCCUUGGAUCACAUUUGGCCAUCAUACUUGAGGGCUCAAACACAGCACUUGUGAUCUCAGGAACUGAAAGCUGCUCAUGGUAAGCCUUUGCAGCUGAGAUUACAGGAGCAUAAGAUGAAAGCAUGAAAUGGAUGCGAGGAUAUGGCACAAGGUUAGUUUGGAACUCCGUAAUAUCCACAUUAAUGGCCCCAUCAAAUCUCAAUGAUGUGGUCAAAGAAGAGAUAAUCUGGGAUAUUAAGCGGUUCAAGUUGGUGUAAGUUGGCCUUUCAAUAUCUAAUGAUCUCCUGCAGAUAUCGUAGAUAGCUUCAUUGUCCAGAAGCACAGCCACAUCUGUGUGUUCAAGGAGUGAAUGAGUGGAAAGCACACUAUUGUAAGGUUCCACGACAGCAGUAGAAACCUGAGGAGAAGGAUAGAUGGUGAAGCCAAGUUUUGACUUUUUUCCAUAAUCUACUGACAAGCGUUCCAAAAGUAGUGAGCCCAAACCAGAACCAGUGCCACCACCAACAGCAUUGAAUACCAAAAAUCCUUGCAAACCAGUGCAAUUGUCGGCCAACUUCCUCACUCGGUCAAGGCAUAGAUCCACAAUUUCCCUUCCCACUGUAUAAUGUCCUCUAGCAAAGUUAUUAGCAGCAUCUUCCUUGCCAGAAAUAAGUUGCUCAGGGUGAAAAAGUUGUCUAUAAGUCCCAGUUCUAGUUUCAUCAAUGACAGUAGGUUCAAGAUCAACAAAUAUAGCUCUUGGCACAUGCUUGCCAAAACCAGUCUCACUGAAGAAGGUAUC